Molecule: ribosomal RNA, 546 nt
Filed under: uncultured fungus
Lineage: Eukaryota; Fungi
Description: eukaryotic LSU rRNA
Rfam family: 5.8S ribosomal RNA (bases 202-355)
Source: RNAcentral
AAGUCGUAACAAGGUCUCCGUAGGUGAACCUGCGGAGGGAUCAUUACAAGAACGCCCGGGCUUCGGCCUGGUUAUUCAUAACCCUUUGUUGUCCGACUCUGUUGCCUCCGGGGCGACCCUGCCUUCGGGCGGGGGCUCCGGGUGGACACUUCAAACUCUUGCGUAACUUUGCAGUCUGAGUAAACUUAAUUAAUAAAUUAAAACUUUUAACAACGGAUCUCUUGGUUCUGGCAUCGAUGAAGAACGCAGCGAAAUGCGAUAAGUAAUGUGAAUUGCAGAAUUCAGUGAAUCAUCGAAUCUUUGAACGCACAUUGCGCCCCCUGGUAUUCCGGGGGGCAUGCCUGUUCGAGCGUCAUUUCACCACUCAAGCCUCGCUUGGGAUUGGGCAACGCGGUCCGCCGCGUGCCUCAAAUCGUCCGGCUGGGUCUUCUGUCCCCUAAGCGUUGUGGAAACUAUUCGCUAAAGGGUGUUCGGGAGGCUACGCCGUAAAACAACCCCAUUUCUAAGGUUGACCUCGGAUCAGGUAGGGAUACCCGCUGAACUUAA